This 496-nucleotide ribosomal RNA is filed under the name uncultured bacterium. RNAcentral's name for it is "partial 16S ribosomal RNA". It matches the Rfam family "Bacterial small subunit ribosomal RNA", at positions 28 to 506 of the family's 1533-position model. The record is from RNAcentral.
GAUGAACGCUGGCGGCGUGCCUAAUACAUGCAAGUCGAGCGAACGGACGAGAAGCUUGCUUCUCUGAUGUUAGCGGCGGACGGGUGAGUAACACGUGGAUAACCUACCUAUAAGACUGGGAUAACUUCGGAAAACCGGAGCUAAGACCGGAUAAUAUUUUGAACCGCAUGGUUCAAAAGUGAAAGACGGUCUUGCUGUCACUUAUAGAUGGAUCCGCGCUGCAUUAGCUAGUUGGUAAGGUAACGGCUUACCAAGGCAACGAUGCAUAGCCGACCUGAGAGGGUGAACGGCCACCCUCAAUCGGAGACACGGUCCGGCCUCCUACGGGCGGCAGGCGUCGGGAAUCUUCCGUAAUGGGCGAACGCCUGACGGAGCAACGCCGCUUGAGUGAUGAAGGUCUUCGGUUCGUAAAGCACUGUUAUUAGGGAAGAACAUAUGUGUAGGUACCUGUGACCAUCUUGACGGUACCUAAUCAGAAAGCCACGGCUAACUACUU